Molecule: long non-coding RNA, 1384 nt
Organism: Pyrus x bretschneideri (Chinese white pear)
Lineage: Eukaryota; Viridiplantae; Streptophyta; Magnoliopsida; Rosales; Rosaceae
Exons: 2
Source: RefSeq, a predicted model, not a curated record
UAAAGCCUGAGUUAACUAACUUAGAUGCAUAAAUCAAAUUCCUUAUCAUGGAAGGUACCUAAAGUACUGGACUCAAUUCUAAAACAAAACCAGAUGAUAAAACUAAUUUGACACUUCUUAUGGAUUUAACAGCUACUUUGGUGAGGCGAAAUGGUAGAAUAGUAAUUUCACAAUCAAGAGAGAUAUUUUUUAUUGUUUUUCCUUUUAUGGGAUUGGUUGGUAUGCCAUGAGGGACCCACCCUCUGUUUUGGUUCCCCGGUCUCUCAGCUCUCUUCUCUCUCAUAGUUCUCACUUCCCCCUUCUUCUCCCUUCUCUCUCCCGGUUCUCUCUUCACGCUCUCCCCCUGAAACUCUCUGCAACUCUCUCCCUUUCUGCGUUAUCCCUCUCCCCUCUGAAAACAACACACACACACACGUACCCACCCAUACAUACUCACAUGGAUACACCUAGUCGCCGUCUUAGCGGAGGAAGGAACGGAUACCAGUAUUCGAACCCGUAAGCUCGGGGAACCACAACGGUGAACCCUCGACCUUGGUUUGUAGUGAGAAACAACUCGGAGGUUUAUUUCCCAAUUUUCCGGCAAGGUGCCGUGACUUGCAGACUUUUCUCGACCCUAUUCCGGCCACGAAUGGCCACGGGGAAGGUAUAGAUCUCUUCCUUUCUUCAUGGGCUUCAUUUCAUAACCAAAAUCCAUGAAAUUUAUAUGGAUUUGAAGGUAUCGAAGAGUAGAACACAAUCGUACCUAUUAAGAGUCCAAAAUCCUACGAAAACGGUCGGAAAAAUCAUUGGAAAAACCGGCCAACUCUGCAACUUCGUGAAUUUGCCUAUUCCGACGUCCAAAAUACUCCAAAACUACUCCAAAGUGCUAAGGAAGUUGAGUGGAUACCCUUCCAAGCCUUAAAUCUCUGAAAUCUCACUGGGAUCACGUCGGAGCAAAAAGGCACCUCGCCAGAGCUUCGGGUUUCUCAAGUCCCAUCGUCCGUUCGAUAGCUUAAGGGUAUCACUAGGAUUGUGAGGUCGAGUUGAGUAUGCUGGCACCAGUUUCGAGCUUGAUCCGUGAGAGUUUGAUAGAUUGUGAGCUGAGGGUCUCGGGUGUACGGAGGGAGAAGAGUCGAGAAGGAGAGGGAGAAAGGUGUACGUGUGUGUGCGUGUGUGGGUCUGCCUGAUUGGGCAGCAGAGAUAGAGAGAGAGAGAGAGAGAGAGAGUAAUAGAUUUUAGUUGGUCCAACAACAAUUAACCCAAUUAUCUGAUUGGGCUUAGGACAUAGAGAAACUAAAAUGAUUGGUGGGUAGGGCUAGGUAUACUCAAUCUUAAAAAUAUAUUUCUACCCAUUUGCAUAUUUAAUUGUUGGUAACAUUUACAUAUUUAAUUGUUCGUAACCCAA